Molecule: ribosomal RNA, 382 nt
Filed under: uncultured eukaryote
Lineage: Eukaryota
Description: partial 18S ribosomal RNA
Rfam family: Eukaryotic small subunit ribosomal RNA
Source: RNAcentral
UGUAAGCGUAUACCAAAGUUGUUGCAGUUAAAACGCUCGUAGUCGGAAUUUGGCAGUUCCGGAUGUGUGCACGUCGUGUGAGCACUUCGCGGGGAUUGCUUUUGUGGUCUUGCGUAGGAUGAGGCACUUUUAUUAGUGAACGUCCUCACGCAACCACUUUUUACUGUGAGAAAAUCAGAGUGCUCAAAGCAGGCAUUUGCCGUGAAUGUAUUAGCAUGGAAUAAUAGAAUAGGACUUGGUUCUAUUUUGUUGGUUUGUUGGGACUGAGUAAUGAUUAAGAGGGACAGUUGGGGGCAUUUGUAUUUCGGUGCUAGAGGUGAAAUUCUUAGAUUACCGAAAGACAAACUGCUGCGAAAGCGUCUGCCAAGGAUGUUUUCAUUGA